AGAGUUUGAUCAUGGCUCAGAACGUACGCUGGCGGCACGCCUAACACAUGCAAGUCGAACGAAGUAGCAAUACUUAGUGGCAGACGGGUGAGUAACAUGUGGGUAUCUGCCCUUUGGCCUGGAAUAACACGAGGAAACUUGUGCUAAUACCGGAUAAGUCUUUACGGAGAAAGCUUUAUGCACCAUUGGAUGAGCCCGCACUUGAUUAGUUUGUUGGUGGGGUAAUGGCCUACCAAGACUGUGAUCAAUAGCUGAUUUGAGAGGAUGAUCAGCCACAUUGGGACUGAGACACGGCCCAAACUCCUACGGGAGGCAGCAGUGGGGAAUCUUGCACAAUGGAGGAAACUCUGAUGCAGCGAUGCCGCGUGAGUGAAGAAGGCCUUUGGGUUGUAAAGCUCUUUCGUCGGGGAAGAAAAUGACUGUACCCGAAUAAGAAGGUCCGGCUAACUUCGUGCCAGCAGCCGCGGUAAUACGAAGGGACCUAGCGUAGUUCGGAAUUACUGGGCUUAAAGAGUUCGUAGGUGGUUGAACAAGUUGGUGGUGAAAUCCCAGAGCUUAACUCUGGAACUGCCAUCAAAACUUUUCAGCUAGAGUAUGAUAGAGGAAAGCAGAAUUUCUAGUGUAGAGGUGAAAUUCGUAGAUAUUAGAAAGAAUACCAAUUGCGAAGGCAGCUUUCUGGAUCAUUACUGACACUGAGGAACGAAAGCAUGGGUAGCGAAGAGGAUUAGAUACCCUCGUAGUCCAUGCCGUAAACGAUGUGUGUUAGACGUUGGAAAUUUAUUUUCAGUGUCGCAGGGAAACCGAUAAACACACCGCCUGGGGAGUACGACCGCAAGGUUAAAACUCAAAUGAAUUGACGGGGACCCGCACAAGUAGUGGAGCAUGUGGUUUAAUUCGAAGAUACGCGCAGAACCUUACCAACACUUGACAUGUUCGUCGCGACUCUAAGAGAUUAGAGUUUUCGGUUCGGCCGGACGAAACACAGGUGCUGCAUGGCUGUCGUCAGCUCGUGUCGUGAGAUGUUGGGUUAAGUCCCGCAACGAGCGCAACCCUCACUUUUAGUUGCCAUCAUUAAGUUGGGCACUCUGAAAGAACUGCCAGUGAUAAGCUGGAGGAAGGUGGGGAUGACGUCAAGUCCUCAUGGCCCUUACGUGUUGGGCUACACACGUGCUACAAUGGCAUCUACAACAGGAAGCAAAACGGCAACGUUAAGCAAAUCCCGAAAAGAUGCCUCAGUUCGGAUUGCACUCUGCAACUCGAGUGCAUGAAGCUGGAAUUACUAGUAAUCGUGGAUCAGCGUGCCACGGUGAAUGCGUUCCCGGGUCUUGUACACACCGCCCGUCACACCAUGGGAGUUGGUUCUACCUUAAGGCAAGGUUUUAAACCCUUGACCACGGUAUAGUCAGCGACUGGGGUGAAGUCGUAACAAGGUAGCCGUA
This 1439-nucleotide ribosomal RNA is filed under the name uncultured bacterium. Its description in RNAcentral is "bacterial SSU rRNA". It matches the Rfam family "Bacterial small subunit ribosomal RNA". The record is from RNAcentral.